RNAcentral lists this ribosomal RNA (461 nucleotides) under uncultured bacterium. Its description in RNAcentral is "partial 16S ribosomal RNA". It matches the Rfam family "Bacterial small subunit ribosomal RNA", at positions 338 to 795 of the family's 1533-position model. The record is from RNAcentral.
CCUACGGGGGGCAGCAGUGAGGAAUAUUGGUCAAUGGGCGUAAGCCUGAACCAGCCAAGUCGCGUGAGGGAUGAAGGUUCUAUGGAUCGUAAACCUCUUUUAUAAGGGAAUAAAGUGUGGGACGUGUCCUGUUUUGUAUGUACCUUAUGAAUAAGGAUCGGCUAACUCCGUGCCAGCAGCCGCGGUAAAACGUAGGGGGCGAGCGUUGUCCGGAAUGACUGGGCGUAAAGGGUGCGUAGGCGGCAUAAUAAGUUAGAAGUGAAAUACCCAGAGCUUAACUCGGGUGCUGCUUCUAAGACUGUUGAGCUUGAGUGCGGGAGAGGUUAAUGGAAUUCCUAGUGUAGCGGUGGAAUGCGUAGAUAUUAGGAGGAACACCAGAGGCGAAGGCGAUUAACUGGACCGUAACUGACGCUGAGGCACGAAAGUGUGGGUAGCAAACAGGAUUAGAUACCCUUGUAGUC